This 1267-nucleotide ribosomal RNA is filed under the name uncultured organism. RNAcentral describes it as "bacterial SSU rRNA". It matches the Rfam family "Bacterial small subunit ribosomal RNA", at positions 87 to 1387 of the family's 1533-position model. The record is from RNAcentral.
GUACAUCAGCGGCGAACGGGUGAGUAACACGUAGGUGACCUGCCCCGAAGACGGGGAUAACUUCUGGAAACAGAGGCUAAUACUCGAUGCACUCAAUAGUUCGUUCUAUUGAGUAAAGCUUAGGCGCUUUGGGAUGGGCCUGCGGUCCAUCAGCUAGUUGGUAGGGUAAUGGCCUACCAAGGCGAAGACGGAUAGGGGGCGUGAGAGCGCGACCCCCCACACUGGCACUGAGACACGGGCCAGACUCCUACGGGAGGCAGCAGUGAGGGAUAUUGCGCAAUGGACGGAAGUCUGACGCAGCGACGCCGCGUGGGUGAUGAAGGCCUUCGGGUUGUAAAGCCCUUUUAUGGGGGAAGAGAAAGGACGGUACCCCAUGAAUAAGCCCCGGCUAACUACGUGCCAGCAGCCGCGGUAAAACGUAGGGGGCAAGCGUUAUCCCGGAUUUACUGGGGCGUAAAGAGCGUUGAGGCGGUUCUGUAAAUUGNGCGUGAAAGCCCCGGGCUCAACCCGGGGAUGUCGUUCAAUACUGCAGGGCUUGAGGGCAGCAGAGGGAGNUGGAAUUCCCGGUGUACCGGUGAAAUGCGUAGAUAUCGGGAGGAACACCAGUGGCGAAGGCGGCCUCCUGGGCUGUUCCUGACGCUGAAGGCGAAAGCUAGGGUAGCGAACGGGAUUAGAAACCCCGGUAGUCCUAGCUGUAAACGAUGGAUGCUAGAUGUAGGGGGUAUAGAUUCCCUCUGUGUCGCAGUUAACGCGUUAAGCAUCCCGCCUGGGGAGUACGGUCGCAAGGCUAAAACUCAAACGAAUUGACGGGGGCCCGCACAAGCAGCGGAGCGUGUGGUUUAAUUCGAUGCUACACGAAGAACCUUACCUGGGCUUGACAUGUAUGUGGUAGUGAAGUGAGAGCGGAUCGACCCUUCGGGGAGCAUACACAGGUGCUGCAUGGCUGUCGUCAGCUCGUGCCGUGAGGUGUCGGGUUAAGUCCCGUAACGAGCGCAACCCCUGUCCUUAGUUACAAGUGUCUAGGGAGACUGCCGGCGGUAAGCCGGAGGAAGGUGGGGAUGACGUCAAGUCAGCAUGGCCUUUAUGUCCAGGGCUACACACACGCUACAAUGGCCGGUACAAUGGGUUGCCAAACCGUGAGGUGGAGCCAAUCCCGUAAAGCCGGUCUCAGUUCGAAUUGUAGACUGCAACUCGUCUACGUGAAGUCGGAGUUGCUAGUAAUCGCGGAUCAGCAUGCCGCGGUGAAUAUGUUCCCGGGCCUUGUACA